UACGUAGGGACCGAGCGUUGUCCGGAAUUAUUGGGCGUAAAGAGCUCGUAGGCGGUUUGUCGCGUCUGCUGUGAAAACCCGAGGCUCAACCUCGGGCCUGCAGUGGGUACGGGGCAGACUAGAGUGCGGUAGGGGAGAUUGGAAUUCCUGGUGUAGCGGUGGAAUGCGCAGAUAUCAGGAGGAACACCGAUGGCGAAGGCAGAUCUCUGGGCCGUAACUGACGCUGAGGAGCGAAAAGCAUGGGGAGCGAACAGG
This 255-nucleotide ribosomal RNA is filed under the name uncultured bacterium. RNAcentral describes it as "partial 16S ribosomal RNA". It matches the Rfam family "Bacterial small subunit ribosomal RNA", at positions 524 to 776 of the family's 1533-position model. The record is from RNAcentral.